ACGACGUCGUUAAACUCGAGAAAGCCACGUGGACCACAGAGAACUCUUCAAAGGUGUAUGGGCAGGCUCACUCAGACAUUGCAGCAUUCAAUCUGUUCAUCGCACACUAAACAGAAAACAAACAAACAAUUUUUGUCUCCUUCUUUGAUUUCUGAUCAUCAAGAGAAGAGUCUUAGGGUUUUAAUGUUGUUUCUUUGCUAAUCAGUGCAACAAAAAUUAACUGGAGCACUGCUUGGUUAAAAUGUAAUGUUGCCAACGGUUAACGGGGAAACCUUCAAGUCGCUUCUCCUUGCUAUAAAACGUGGAAUUUUGCAUCCGGUUGC
Molecule: long non-coding RNA, 323 nt
Organism: Mercurialis annua (annual mercury)
Lineage: Eukaryota; Viridiplantae; Streptophyta; Magnoliopsida; Malpighiales; Euphorbiaceae
Exons: 3
Source: RefSeq, a predicted model, not a curated record